AACAUGUUAUAUAUGUUGAACCUUAAGCUCCUCCAGGUGAUGUAAGACAAGUUAAUGAAGACUAUUGGGGAACCAUUCCCUGAAGAAAAGAUGGAAAAAAUAACAGCUGACAUUUGUGUAACAAUGCACAGUCUUCAUUUGGUCCUAUACCAACUCUCAGAGAAAAGGCUACGGGCCAGUGCAGUAUAAGCAGGAGCUUGGGAAAGCUGAAGCCACUGGAGAGAAAUUUGGCAGAGAACAGAGGCGACUUCCUGUGGCAGUACCAGUUAUCAGAGUUUUUAUUACCUACUGUGUGUCUUUGAAAGCCUCUCCUGUCUGCGAGAUGUAGAACUCCCACCCCAGUGGUGGGGAGAAAGGCAAAAUAAACAGCUUUAAUAAGCGCU
RNAcentral lists this long non-coding RNA (383 nucleotides) under Phascolarctos cinereus (koala). RNAcentral describes it as "lncRNA (ENSPCIG00000003980.2)". Lineage: Eukaryota; Metazoa; Chordata; Mammalia; Diprotodontia; Phascolarctidae. The record is from RNAcentral.